GCAGUAUAAGAAGCAAGCUUUCGAGCAACUUCAUUGUCACCAACUUCAAAAUCAUCUUCAUCAUUCACAGGAAUCGAGGUAACAUAAGCGUCGCGGUCCGUUCCGCCAUAUAGGUCUUUAUCGAAGGUGAGGGUAGUGAGAGAGGCAAGCUCUUUCUCCAUUUUUUUGCGUUCUUCUUGGGUUUUCGCUAUCUCUGGAUCCAUAGUUGAUUUGAAAUCGAUUCGUCUCGUGCGUUUAUUAC
RNAcentral lists this unclassified non-coding RNA (241 nucleotides) under Hevea brasiliensis (rubber tree). The record is from RNAcentral. Lineage: Eukaryota; Viridiplantae; Streptophyta; Magnoliopsida; Malpighiales; Euphorbiaceae.